GUCCCUGUAGCGCAAUCGACAGCGUGUUGGACUUCUAAUACAAAGGUCGCGGGUUUGAACCCCACCUGGGAUG
RNAcentral lists this transfer RNA (73 nucleotides) under Trichonephila inaurata madagascariensis. It matches the Rfam family "tRNA". Rfam says of the family: Transfer RNA (tRNA) molecules are approximately 80 nucleotides in length. Lineage: Eukaryota; Metazoa; Arthropoda; Arachnida; Araneae; Nephilidae. The record is from Rfam by way of RNAcentral.